UUUUUCCGUUAGGGUAACCUGCGGAGGGAUCAUUACACAAAUAUGAAGGCAGGCUGGAACCUCUCGGGGUUACAGCCUUGCUGAAUUAUUCACCCUUGUCUUUUGCGUACUUCUUGUUUCCUUGGUGGGUUCGCCCACCACUAGGACAAACAUAAACCUUUUGUAAUUGCAAUCAGCGUCAGUAACAAAUUAAUAAUUACAACUUUCAACAACGGAUCUCUUGGUUCUGGCAUCGAUGAAGAACGCAGCGAAAUGCGAUAAGUAGUGUGAAUUGCAGAAUUCAGUGAAUCAUCGAAUCUUUGAACGCACAUUGCGCCCUUUGGUAUUCCAAAGGGCAUGCCUGUUCGAGCGUCAUUUGUACCCUCAAGCUUUGCUUGGUGUUGGGCGUCUUGUCUCUAGCUUUGCUGGAGACUCGCCUUAAAGUAAUUGGCAGCCGGCCUACUGGUUUCGGAGCGCAGCACAAGUCGCACUCUCUAUCAGCAAAGGUCUAGCAUCCAUUAAGCCUGUUUGUCAAACUUUGACCUCGGACAAGGUAGGGAUACCCGCUGAACUUAAGCAUAUCAAAAUUUGGGAGGAAA
RNAcentral lists this ribosomal RNA (578 nucleotides) under Alternaria carthami. Its description in RNAcentral is "partial 18S ribosomal RNA". The stretch from base 201 to 354 matches the Rfam family "5.8S ribosomal RNA". The record is from RNAcentral. Lineage: Eukaryota; Fungi; Ascomycota; Dothideomycetes; Pleosporales; Pleosporaceae.